RNAcentral lists this ribosomal RNA (793 nucleotides) under Methanosaeta sp. enrichment culture clone A14102. RNAcentral describes it as "bacterial SSU rRNA". It matches the Rfam family "Archaeal small subunit ribosomal RNA", at positions 85 to 879 of the family's 1478-position model. Lineage: Archaea; Methanobacteriati; Methanobacteriota; Methanomicrobia; Methanotrichales; Methanotrichaceae. The record is from RNAcentral.
ACUGCUCAGUAACACGUGGACAACCUGCCCUUAGGACGGGGAUAAACCCGGGAAACUGGGUAUAAUACCCGAUAGGUCUCGAUUGCUGGAAUGCAUCGAGAUUUAAAGCUCCGGCGCCUAAGGAUGGGUCUGCGGCCUAUCAGGUAGUAGUGGGUGUAGCGUACCUACUAGCCUACGACGGGUACGGGUUGUGAGAGCAAGAGCCCGGAGAUGGAUUCUGAGACACGAAUCCAGGCCCUACGGGGUGCAGCAGGCGCGAAAACUUUACAAUGCGGGAAACCGUGAUAAGGGAAUCUCGAGUGCCAGCAUAUAAUGUUGGCUGUCCAGAUGCCUAAAAAGCAUCUGUUAGCAAGGGCCGGGCAAGACCGGUGCCAGCCGCCGCGGUAACACCGGCGGCCCGAGUGGUAACCGCUUUUAUUGGGUCUAAAGGGUCUGUAGCCGGCCAAGUAAGUCCCUUGGGAAAUCUGGCAGCUUAACUGUCAGGCUGCUAGGGGAUACUGCUAGGCUUGGGACCGGGAGAGGUGAGAGGUACCUUGGGGGUAGGGGUGAAAUCUUGUGAUCCUCGGGGGACCACCAGUGGCGAAGGCGUCUCACCAGAACGGGUCCGACGGUAAGGGACGAAAGCUAGGGGCACGAACCGGAUUAGAUACCCGGGUAGUCCUAGCCGUAAACGAUGCUCGCUAGGUGUCAGUCACGGUGCGACCGUGAUUGGUGCCGUAGGGAAGCCGUGAAGCGAGCCACCUGGGAAGUAUGGCCGCAAGGCUGAAACUUAAAGGAAUUGGCGGGGGAGCAC